RNAcentral lists this ribosomal RNA (468 nucleotides) under uncultured bacterium. RNAcentral describes it as "partial 16S ribosomal RNA". It matches the Rfam family "Bacterial small subunit ribosomal RNA", at positions 28 to 507 of the family's 1533-position model. The record is from RNAcentral.
GACGAACGCUGGCGGCGUGCUUAACACAUGCAAGUCGAACGGAAAGGCCCUGCUUUUGUGGGGUUCUCGAGUGGCGAACGGGUGAGUAACACGUGAGUAACCUGCCCUUGACUUUGGGAUAACUUCAGGAAACUGGGGCUAAUACCGGAUAGGAGCUCCUGCUGCAUGGUGGGGGUUGGAAAGUUUCGGCGGUUGGGGAUGGACUCGCGGCUUAUCAGCUUGUUGGUGGGGUAGUGGCUUACCAAGGCUUUGACGGGUAGCCGGCCUGAGAGGGUGACCGGCCACAUUGGGACUGAGAUACGGCCCAGACUCCUAUGGGAGGCAGCAGUGGGGAAUAUUGCACAAUGGGCGGAAGCCUGAUGCAGCAACGCCGCGUGCGGGAUGACGGCCUUCGGGUUGUAAACCGCUUUCGACUGUGACGAAGCGUGAGUGACGGUAAUGGGUAAAGAAGCACCGGCUAACUACGUG